This 448-nucleotide ribosomal RNA is filed under the name uncultured bacterium. Its description in RNAcentral is "partial 16S ribosomal RNA". It matches the Rfam family "Bacterial small subunit ribosomal RNA", at positions 355 to 793 of the family's 1533-position model. The record is from RNAcentral.
CGGGGAAUAUUGCACAAUGGGCGCAAGCCUGAUGCAGCCAUGCCGCGUGUGUGAAGAAGGCCUUCGGGUUGUAAAGCACUUUCAGCGAGGAGGAAGGUGGUGAGCUUAAUACGCUCAUCAAUUGACGUUACUCGCAGAAGAAGCACCGGCUAACUCCGUGCCAGCAGCCGCGGUAAUACGGAGGGUGCAAGCGUUAAUCGGAAUUACUGGGCGUAAAGCGCACGCAGGCGGUUUGUUAAGUCAGAUGUGAAAUCCCCGGGCUCAACCUGGGAACUGCAUUUGAAACUGGCAAGCUAGAGUCUCGUAGAGGGGGGUAGAAUUCCAGGUGUAGCGGUGAAAUGCGUAGAGAUCUGGAGGAAUACCGGUGGCGAAGGCGGCCCCCUGGACGAAGACUGACGCUCAGGUGCGAAAGCGUGGGGCAGCAAAACAGGAUUAGAUACCCUGGUAG